UACGUAGGGGGCAAGCGUUGUCCGGAAUCAUUGGGCGUAAAGCGCGUGUAGGCGGUCCGAUAAGUCGGUUGUGAAAGUCCAGGGCUCAACCCUGGGAUGCCGACCGAUACUGUCGGACUAGAGUUCGGAAGAGGCGAGUGGAAUUCCCGGUGUAGCGGUGAAAUGCGCAGAUAUCGGGAGGAACACCAAUGGCGAAGGCAGCUCGCUGGGACGUUACUGACGCUGAGACGCGAAAGCUAGGGGAGCGAACAGG
Molecule: ribosomal RNA, 253 nt
Filed under: uncultured bacterium
Lineage: Bacteria
Description: partial 16S ribosomal RNA
Rfam family: Bacterial small subunit ribosomal RNA
Source: RNAcentral